Molecule: transfer RNA, 66 nt
Filed under: Antrokoreana gracilipes
Lineage: Eukaryota; Metazoa; Arthropoda; Diplopoda; Julida; Nemasomatidae
Description: tRNA-Ser
Source: RNAcentral
AGCUGUUUAGCUUAAGUAAGCAUUUAUUUUGAAAGUAAUGUAUAAGAAUUAUUAUCUUAACGGCUU